Acanthosepion pharaonis is the source of this 113-nucleotide non-coding RNA. The record is from the annotation of a GenBank genome assembly. Lineage: Eukaryota; Metazoa; Mollusca; Cephalopoda; Sepiida; Sepiidae.
UUAUGGCCAUAUCACAUUGAAACAUUGAUUCUCGUAUGAUCACUAAAGUUAAGCAAUGUCAAGCCUGAUCAGUACCCCAGUGGGUGACGGCUUGGGAAUACUGAGUGCUGUAA